UGGGAUAGCUCAGCCGGCAGAGCAUGAGACUCUUAAUCUUUGGGUUGUGGGUUCGAGCCCCACAUUGGGCAAAA
Podarcis lilfordi (Lilford's wall lizard) is the source of this 74-nucleotide non-coding RNA. NCBI's taxonomy places the organism in Eukaryota, Metazoa, Chordata, Lepidosauria, Squamata, Lacertidae. The record is from the annotation of a GenBank genome assembly.